Phrynosoma platyrhinos (Desert horned lizard) is the source of this 72-nucleotide non-coding RNA. The record is from the annotation of a GenBank genome assembly. NCBI's taxonomy places the organism in Eukaryota, Metazoa, Chordata, Lepidosauria, Squamata, Phrynosomatidae.
GCCAGCGUAGGUUAGUGGUUUGAAUGUUGGGCUGUGACUCUGGAGACUAGGGUUCGAAUCCUGGCUCAGCCA